Molecule: long non-coding RNA, 361 nt
Organism: Rhea pennata
Lineage: Eukaryota; Metazoa; Chordata; Aves; Rheiformes; Rheidae
Exons: 3
Source: RefSeq, a predicted model, not a curated record
GUCCCGUCCGAGCGCACUGACCAGCUCUUUCUUCCUCUUCUCCUCCUUCACGUCUGUCUUCUUGAUCUCUGCCUUGAAGGCCUCCGCCUCCCCGUUCUGGUCGUCUUUCGCUAGCAGGUCCAUGAGCUUGCUGACUGCAUGUACGCACCUCGACAAUACUCAUCCGAAUCACUUGUGUUCCUGAAAUCAGUUUCAUGCUUGUUUAACUAGUCUGAUUGGAAAGUAACUGAAGAAGCCGAGAAAUGAAGAAUUGGAUGUCGUUUACCUCCUCAGAUCUGCAGGGAAAAGGAGCUGUGGCCAAAACACUGGGUGUAAAUGUGACAACAAAAAUAAAUACUUUACAUCACAGCGCAGAACAUAA